Molecule: long non-coding RNA, 391 nt
Organism: Apis dorsata (giant honeybee)
Lineage: Eukaryota; Metazoa; Arthropoda; Insecta; Hymenoptera; Apidae
Exons: 2
Source: RefSeq, a predicted model, not a curated record
UUCACGAUGUUACACGAUUCUUUGCGAUAUUGUCUUAAAACCUGUCCAGUUUUCCUUACUACACACGCAUGUAUACACAUUUAGUUUUCUAUGGAUUGGCAUCGACCAAUCGUAGAAAGCGAAAUGCAAAAGUAACGGUUUUCUUGCAUCGAAUUUAAACAAACGUCGUUACGUCAUAUAUCUGUGGCUCGACACGAUCAAGAAAAUACUACGACCGAACUUCGUCCAUGGUUUCACGCUACCACCAUAUACCAUCUCGAUUAUCUCGGGUAUAGCGACUUCUCGCACGGACGCCACAGACGUGCCAUAAAGAUUGUCAUUGUACUGUCCGGCCUCUAUGAACAAAUGAUUUUGAAUGUCCCUCUCCAUCUGUUCCCUAGAUGCGACGAAA